UACGGAGGAUCCGAGCGUUAUCCGGAUUUAUUGGGUUUAAAGGGUGCGCAGGCGGGAGAUUAAGUCGGCGGUGAAAUUUUGCAGCUUAACUGUAAAAGUGCCUUCGAAACUGGUUUCCUUGAGUGUAGAUGAAGUAGGCGGAAUUUGUGGUGUAGCGGUGAAAUGCAUAGAUAUCACGAGGAACUCCGAUUGCGCAGGCAGCUUACUAAACUACUACUGACGCUCAGGCACGAAGGCGUGGGGAUCAAACAGGAUUAGAUACCCGGGUAGUCCCUGA
RNAcentral lists this ribosomal RNA (277 nucleotides) under uncultured prokaryote. RNAcentral's name for it is "partial 16S ribosomal RNA". It matches the Rfam family "Bacterial small subunit ribosomal RNA", at positions 524 to 800 of the family's 1533-position model. The record is from RNAcentral.